This 606-nucleotide ribosomal RNA is filed under the name uncultured Bacteroides sp. RNAcentral describes it as "bacterial SSU rRNA". It matches the Rfam family "Bacterial small subunit ribosomal RNA", at positions 107 to 710 of the family's 1533-position model. The record is from RNAcentral. Lineage: Bacteria; Pseudomonadati; Bacteroidota; Bacteroidia; Bacteroidales; Bacteroidaceae.
UGAGUAACACGUAUCCAACCUUCCGUACACUCAGGGAUAGCCUUUCGAAAGAAAGAUUAAUACCUGAUGGUAUCUUAAGCACACAUGUAAUUAAGAUUAAAGAUUUAUCGGUGUACGAUGGGGAUGCGUUCCAUUAGGUAGUAGGCGGGGUAACGGCCCACCUAGCCUACGAUGGAUAGGGGUUCUGAGAGGAAGGUCCCCCACAUUGGAACUGAGACACGGUCCAAACUCCUACGGGAGGCAGCAGUGAGGAAUAUUGGUCAAUGGACGAGAGUCUGAACCAGCCAAGUAGCGUGAAGGAUGAAGGUCCUACGGAUUGUAAACUUCUUUUAUAAGGGAAUAAAACCUCCCACGUGUGGGAGCUUGUAUGUACCUUAUGAAUAAGCAUCGGCUAACUCCGUGCCAGCAGCCGCGGUAAUACGGAGGAUCCGAGCGUUAUCCGGAUUUAUUGGGUUUAAAGGGAGCGUAGGUGGAAGAUUAAGUCAGCCUGUGAAAGUUUGCGGCUCAACCGUAAAAUUGCAGUUGAUACUGGUUUUCUUGAGUGCAGUAGAGGUGGGAGGAAUUCGUGGUGUAGCGGUGAAAUGCUUAGAUAUCACGAAGAGCUCC